CAAAGGGCUUGUCUAAGGAACCCUGUGAAGAUUGAAGUAGCAUCUAAAUAUUCUACCGUUGAUACACUAAAGCACCAGUAUCGUUUUCUGCCGUCCCAGCACAAGGACUGUUAUCUUGUAUAUAUUCUGACUGAGAAGUGUCAAUGUACAACUAUGGUUUUUACUCGUACAUGUGAUGCAACACUCCUAUUGGCUACGAUGCUUCGAAAUCUUGGUAUAAGAGCCACCCCUAUUAGUGGUCAUAUGAGCCAGUCAAAACGACUUGGUGCCUUAAAUAUGUUUAAAGCUGGAGAGUGUAAUGUACUUAUCUGCACUGAUGUGGCAAGUAGAGGAUUGGAUAUUCCGUUGGUGGAUAUGGAUAUUAAUUAUGAUAUUCCC
Molecule: long non-coding RNA, 378 nt
Organism: Rosa chinensis
Lineage: Eukaryota; Viridiplantae; Streptophyta; Magnoliopsida; Rosales; Rosaceae
Exons: 4
Source: RefSeq, a predicted model, not a curated record